This 305-nucleotide ribosomal RNA is filed under the name uncultured bacterium. RNAcentral describes it as "bacterial SSU rRNA". It matches the Rfam family "Bacterial small subunit ribosomal RNA", at positions 335 to 657 of the family's 1533-position model. The record is from RNAcentral.
UGCCUACGGGGGGCAGCAGUGGGGGAUAUUGCACAAUGGGGGGAACCCUGAUGCAGCGACGCCGCGUGGGUGAAGGAGUGCUUCGGCAUGUAAAGCCCUAUCGGCAGGGAAGAAGCAAGACGGUACCUGACUAAGAAGCCCCGGCUAACUACGUGCCAGCAGCCGCGGUAAUACGUAGGGGGCGAGCGUUAUCCGGAUUCACUGGGUGUAAAGGGAGCGUAGGCGGCCUGGCAAGCCUGAUGUGAAAUACCGGGGCCCAACCCCGGGGCUGCAUUGGGAACUGCCAGGCUGGAGUGCCGGAGAGG